UGCCUGUUUGAGCGUCAUUUCUCCCUCAAACCCCCGGGUUUGGUGUUGAGCAAUACGCUAGGUUUGUUUGAAAGAAUUUAACGUGGAAACUUAUUUUAAGCGACUUAGGUUUAUCCAAAAACGCUUAUUUUGCUAGUGGCCACCACAAUUUAUUUCAUAACUUUGACCUCAAAUCAGGUAGGACUACCCGCUGAACUUAA
This 200-nucleotide unclassified non-coding RNA is filed under the name soil metagenome. RNAcentral describes it as "partial contains internal transcribed spacer 2 and large subunit ribosomal RNA". The record is from RNAcentral.